Molecule: ribosomal RNA, 497 nt
Filed under: uncultured bacterium
Lineage: Bacteria
Description: partial 16S ribosomal RNA
Rfam family: Bacterial small subunit ribosomal RNA
Source: RNAcentral
GAUGAACGCUGGCGGCGUGCCUAAUACAUGCAAGUCGAGCGAACGGACGAGAAGCUUGCUUUUCUGAUGUUAGCGGCGGACGGGUGAGUAACACGUGGAUAACCUACCUAUAAGACUGGGAUGACUUCGGGAAACCGGAGCUAAUACCGGAUAAUAUUUUGAACCGCAUGGUUCAAAAGUGAAAGACGGUCUUGCUGUCACUUAUAGAUGGAUCCGCGCUGCAUUAGCUAGUUGGUAAGGUAACGGCUUACCAAGGCAACGAUGCAUAGCCGACCUGAGAGGGUGAUCGGCCACACUGGAACUGAGACACGGCCCAGACUCCUACGGGAGGCAGCAGUAGGGAAUCUUCCGCAAUGGGCGAAAGCCUGACGGAGCAACGCCGCGUGAGUGAUGAAGGUCUUCGGAUCGUAAAACUCUGUUAUUAGGGAAGAACAUAUGUGUAAGUAACUGUGCACAUCUUGACGGUACCUAAUCAGAAAGCCACGGCUAACUACGUG